CCUAAAUGACUGCUCAAUGAUAAAGGAGGUGGGGGUGCAAGACAGCCAGGAGGUUUGCCUAGAAGCAGCACCCUUUAAAGAGUGCGUAAUAGCUCACUAAUCGAGCGCCCUUGCGCUGAAGAUGAACGGGGCUAAGCGAGAU
Molecule: ribosomal RNA, 142 nt
Filed under: Oryza sativa Indica Group (long-grained rice)
Lineage: Eukaryota; Viridiplantae; Streptophyta; Magnoliopsida; Poales; Poaceae
Description: rRNA LSU_rRNA_eukarya
Rfam family: Bacterial large subunit ribosomal RNA (bases 12-137)
Source: RNAcentral